AGAUGAGAGUCUGACGGAGCACGCCGCGUGAGUGAUGAAGGCUUUCGGGUCGUAAAACUCUGUUGUUAGGGAAGAACAAGUGCUAGUUGAAUAAGCUGGCACCUUGACGGUACCUAACCAGAAAGCCACGGCUAACUACGUGCCAGCAGCCGCGGAACUUCGUAGGCGGCAAGGGAUAUCAGGAAUUACGGGACGUGCCGUGCGUGUAAAUUAUACUCAACCGGCACGCGAUACGCGCAUCUAUAUUUUUUAUCUGU
This 257-nucleotide ribosomal RNA is filed under the name Bacillus thuringiensis. Its description in RNAcentral is "partial 16S ribosomal RNA". It matches the Rfam family "Bacterial small subunit ribosomal RNA", at positions 373 to 634 of the family's 1533-position model. Lineage: Bacteria; Bacillati; Bacillota; Bacilli; Caryophanales; Bacillaceae. The record is from RNAcentral.